AUUGAACGCUGGCGGCAGGCCUAACACAUGCAAGUCGAGCGGAUGAAGGGAGCUUGCUCCUGGAUUCAGCGGCGGACGGGUGAGUAAUGCCUAGGAAUCUGCCUGGUAGUGGGGGAUAACGUCCGGAAACGGGCGCUAAUACCGCAUACAUCCUGAGGGAGGAAGUGGGGGAUCUUCGGACCUCACGCUAUCAGAUGAGCCUAGGUCGGAUUAGCUAGUUGGUGGGGUAAAGGCCUACCAAGGCGACGAUCCGUAACUGGUCUGAGAGGAUGAUCAGUCACACUGGAACUGAGACACGGUCCUGACUCCUACGGGAGGCAGCAGUGGGGAAUAUUGGACAAUGGGCGAAAGCCUGACCCAGCCAUGCCGCGUGUGUGAAGAAGGUCUUCGGAUUGUAAAGCACUUUAAGUUGGGAGGAAGGGCAGUAAGUUAAUACCUUGCUGUUUUGACGUUACCAACAGAAUAAGCACCGGCUAACUUCGUG
RNAcentral lists this ribosomal RNA (484 nucleotides) under uncultured bacterium. Its description in RNAcentral is "partial 16S ribosomal RNA". It matches the Rfam family "Bacterial small subunit ribosomal RNA", at positions 30 to 507 of the family's 1533-position model. The record is from RNAcentral.